Molecule: long non-coding RNA, 787 nt
Organism: Rosa chinensis
Lineage: Eukaryota; Viridiplantae; Streptophyta; Magnoliopsida; Rosales; Rosaceae
Exons: 5
Source: RefSeq, a predicted model, not a curated record
UCUAUCAUUCCCAAUUUCAAACCCUCUCAAAAAUGAGGCAUUUAUUUUCCCCAAAAUAACCUUCCUGUUUGAUAUUUCGUCUCUUUGGUCUAAUUCUAUUGCUGGGUGUUCUUCACUUUGGCUUCUAUUUCUUCCUUUUGCCGAGGUGUCUUCAAUGUCGGAAAUCUGGAAACAACAGAAUUGCUGCGGGAGAGAGGGACACACAAGGUGAAAAAAGAAAUUGUCAAAACCAUAUGCGGAUGCACCCUAUGUACUCCAGUCAAGUGUACUUCACAUUAGUUGGCUUUUGGAGGCAUGUUCAGCUGUUGCAGAGUUGCUCGACAUGCAGCUGAUGAGCUCACAGGCAGAGUGAAGGAAAGAGAAGGUGGUCUGAUGGGAUUCAUCAGCCUGUGGAGGCUAAAGAAUGUUUGAAGAUUCAGGUAUAUAUUUUUGACAGUUGGUGCGUGAAGUUCUUUUUUCUUCUUCUGUAUCUUGUCUCAAUCACCAUUCAUUGAAGUGCCAACAUAUGUGGCAAACAUUCUCAAUGUUUUUCCUAUUCAAAAGCUUUAGGAUAUUUAGUAUAUUUUUCUUUUUCUCACUUUUAUCUGAUAUCCAUACUUGUAUGGAAGUGCUUUCAACUUGAAAUAUAUUUUUAAGUAAAUAUAUUGGCCAACUUCAUGUUUUGAGUUUGCAGAGGUCAGCAAUGUAACUAUCUCUCAAGUUUUUAAUGCAAUCUCGACUGUUUUGGUUAUUCCCGGUAGGCCAGUACUGAGAUUGAUAGGGAGAAGUUGUACAUUCACUUGUUUGU